RNAcentral lists this ribosomal RNA (490 nucleotides) under uncultured bacterium. Its description in RNAcentral is "partial 16S ribosomal RNA". It matches the Rfam family "Bacterial small subunit ribosomal RNA", at positions 30 to 507 of the family's 1533-position model. The record is from RNAcentral.
AUUGAACGCUGGCGGCAGGCCUAACACAUGCAAGUCGAACGGUAACAGGAAACAGCUUGCUGUUUCGCUGACGAGUGGCGGACGGGUGAGUCAUGUCUGGGAAACUGCCUGAUGGAGGGGGAUAACUACUGGAAACGGUAGCUAAUACCGCAUAACGUCGCCAGACCAAAGAGGGGGACCCUCGGGCCUCUUGCCAUCGGAUGUGCCCAGAUGGGAUUAGCUUGUUGGUGGGGUAACGGCUCACCAAGGCGACGAUCCCUAGCUGGUCUGAGAGGAUGACCAGCCAGACGGGAACUGAGACACGGUCCAGACACCUACGGGAGGCAGCAGUGGGGAAUAUUGCACGAUGGGCGCAAGCCUGAUGCAGCCAUGCCGCGUGUAUGAAGAAGGCCUUCGGGUUGUAAAGUACUUUCAGCGGGGAGGAAGGGAGUAAAGUUAAUACCUGUGCUCAUUGACGUUACCCGCAGAAGAAGCACCGGCUAACUCCGUG